This 223-nucleotide ribosomal RNA is filed under the name uncultured bacterium. Its description in RNAcentral is "partial 16S ribosomal RNA". It matches the Rfam family "Bacterial small subunit ribosomal RNA", at positions 524 to 746 of the family's 1533-position model. The record is from RNAcentral.
UACGUAGGCAGCAAGCGUUGUUCGGAAUUACUGGGCGUAAAGCGAGUGUAGGCGGUCUGCCAAGUCUGUUGUGAAAUCUCCUGGCUCAACUGGGAGGGUGCGACGGAAACUGGCAGGCUUGAGUGCGGGAGAGGAGAGUGGAAUUCCUGGUGUAGCGGUGAAAUGCGUAGAUAUCAGGAGGAACACCGGUGGUGAAGACGGCUCUCUGGACCGCAACUGACGC